AUUAUAUAUGUUGAAGUGUCCACUUAAAAGUCGCAUGGAUUGAGCAAAAAAAUCUCAAUCAAAAUCUAUAGCAGGCCCCAAGUCCAGCCUUCACCAAGCUCACCACACAUCAUGGGUUGGCCCAAUGACAUCAUCAUCCUCAUCUCGAUCGACGUAGCCGGAUUCCACUAGCCCAAAUCCAGGCCCAUGCCCAGUCUCUCGAGGCAUCACUCAUCCCUCCGUCCUCUCAGCCGUCUCAGCUGACUGUAGUAAGUAAAGGUAAGCUUUCUUGUUUCGCUCGCUAUCACGCUUGUCGUCGGAAGAAACUAUAAACAGUGGCAAACAUCAUCAAUAUCGCUGCUGCCCAUCCUCAAACCGUCGGAACCCUCAGCCAUGCAUUGCACGAUGCCACUUUCUGAUGUCAAUAUGUGUGGUCACCGUCGUUGACUCUAAUAUGUUCGCCGGAGAGAGCUAUUGAUGAUUUCCCAUCAGCAUCGGACCGAAACAGAGGGUUUCCGUCGAUGUCAUCGCUAUCUUCGUCAUCGGAAGG
This 529-nucleotide long non-coding RNA is filed under the name Malus domestica (apple). Its description in RNAcentral is "long non-coding RNA (MDOM_LNC004551)". The record is from RNAcentral. Lineage: Eukaryota; Viridiplantae; Streptophyta; Magnoliopsida; Rosales; Rosaceae.